This 390-nucleotide ribosomal RNA is filed under the name uncultured microorganism. RNAcentral's name for it is "bacterial SSU rRNA". It matches the Rfam family "Archaeal small subunit ribosomal RNA", at positions 330 to 720 of the family's 1478-position model. The record is from RNAcentral.
GUGCACCAGUCGAGAAACCUCCGCAAUGCGGGAAACCGCGACGGGGGACCCCGAGUGCCGUGGCAACGCCACGGCUUUUCCGGAGUGUAAAAAGCUCCGGGAAUAAGGGCUGGGCAAGGCCGGUGGCAGCCGCCGCGGUAAUACCGGCGGCCCGAGUGGUGGCCGCUAUUAUUGGGGCCUAAAGCGUCCGUAGCCGGGCCCGUAAGUCCCUGGCGAAAUCCCACGGCUCAACCGUGGGGCUUGCUGGGGAUACUGCGGGUCUUGGGACCGGGAGAGGCGGGGGGUACCCCUGGGGUAGGGGUGAAAUCCUAUAAUCCCCAGGGGGACCGCCAGUGGCGAAGGCGCCCCGCUGGAACGGGUCCGACGGUGAGGGACGAAGGCCAGGGGAGC